AAACAAAACCUACCAAUAUCAGUAGUUCAGUGCCACUGUCCACUGAAAAUCUGAAACUAAACCCUCACAAAACCCUAAAAACCGUUUGCGCUUUUCCGAUAAACAAAGUAAUGGCGUUCCGAUCCGCAUCGCUAUCUCGCUCCUUCAUCUCUACAGCCAGAUCUUCAAUUCGCUCGCCGGCGCCCUCUCCCCUUCCCCGCAUCCGUCCACCGCCCCUCGCCGCCCCUCGCAUCCAGUCCCGCCUCUUUUCCACGCCUGCUACCACUUCCAGGAAUUUGGGGCAAUUGGGUUGCAUACAAUCACUUUUGCCACUGCAUAGCACGAUGGCUGUAGCGUGUCUCACUUCUCACCUUGCUGUCAGUGCACGAGCUUGUAGCGAGCUGUCCAAUGGUACCUUCCGUCGUUCUUGUCAAGAUCGCUAAUAGUCUCUUUGGAUGAAUGGAAAAGAUGGGUGAUGCACGAGGACAUCAAUAAUCCAAUUGCAAGAGAAGAAUGCUGCAUUGUGAUCCUGAUUCCUGAGUUACUUGAGCAACCUUUUGGAUUUGUAUGGCUGCCUGUAAGAUUAUGGAGAGCCAAUAAUUACGGGAGUAUUAUCUGGGAAAUAACAGUUGUUGGAAUCUUGAAUGAGACUCAUCUGUUAUGCUUUUAUUUUAAUUUUCCUUUUUUGACUCAGGAAGGAAGAACCUGUUUUUAAUCCUCAAACUGUGAUAAUAUUCAAGAUUAGUUAUUGAUUCUUGUUGUAUCUGGUUUUUGGUUAAAUGCUGUACAUUCAUCAUUUGGGAAUAAUAGUUAUUCAUCGCAUGCUUUUUAUUGAA
Molecule: RNA transcript, 815 nt
Organism: Cicer arietinum (chickpea)
Lineage: Eukaryota; Viridiplantae; Streptophyta; Magnoliopsida; Fabales; Fabaceae
Gene name: protein NONRESPONDING TO OXYLIPINS 2, mitochondrial-like
Source: RefSeq, a predicted model, not a curated record